RNAcentral lists this long non-coding RNA (267 nucleotides) under Populus tremula. Its description in RNAcentral is "long non-coding RNA (PTRE_LNC002282)". Lineage: Eukaryota; Viridiplantae; Streptophyta; Magnoliopsida; Malpighiales; Salicaceae. The record is from RNAcentral.
UGAGAAGCAACACUUUUUUUUAUCAACACGAUCGGUUUUGUAACACCCUGCGCGCGCGCACUUGCACAAUAUCCUUCUUAAUUUUGCAAAGAUUUGUUGGCUUGUUUCCUCAUACAGAAAUAGGUUUUGGAUUCAAAGUAGAAUUGUUAUCACAUUACCUCUUGUUUUUUGGGAUGAGUUUGAUUUCAUACACAUAUGCUAACUUUUUUGUCAAUAUUCAAGGGAAGAAAUUGCCAAGUAUUUAACAGAUUUAUUGCAAGAAUCUCC